This 443-nucleotide ribosomal RNA is filed under the name uncultured bacterium. Its description in RNAcentral is "partial 16S ribosomal RNA". It matches the Rfam family "Bacterial small subunit ribosomal RNA", at positions 338 to 795 of the family's 1533-position model. The record is from RNAcentral.
CCUACGGGUGGCAGCAGUGGGGAAUAUUGGGCAAUGGGCGCAAGCCUGACCCAGCAACGCCGCGUGAAGGAAGAAGGCUUUCGGGUUGUAAACUUCUUUUCUGAGGGACGAAGGAAGUGACGGUACCUCAGGUAUAAGCCACGGCUAACUACGUGCCAGCAGCCGCGGUAAUACGUAGGUGGCAAGCGUUAUCCGGAUUUAUUGGGUGUAAAGGGCGUGUAGGCGGGAAAGCAAGUCAGAUGUGAAAACUCAGGGCUCAACCCUGAGCCUGCAUUUGAGACUGUUUUGCUUGAGUGCUGGAGAGGGGAGUGGAAUUCCGUGUGUAGCGGUGAAAUGCGUAGAUAUACGGAGGAACACCAGUGGCGAAGGCGGAUUGCUGGACAGUAACUGACGCUGAGGCGCGAAAGCGUGGGGAGCAAACAGGAUUAGAUACCCUUGUAGUC